AGAACUGUGGCCUUCAGUGUCCUUGGAAUCCUAAGGGAAGAAUUCACUCUACACAAGAUAAAAUUUUGAUCAAAAUUCUGUUUUGUUGAAAUAUUUUUAAAUUGUUAAUAUACACUAAAAAAAGCAAAGGGACCACUUGACAUUUCAAAUUAAAUAUGAAGCAAAUGCCGAGAAGCACACUGUCACUGCAGGUGUAGAAGUUCGGACUGCCCUCAAGCCAUCCUACUGCCUUUGCAGGCCAACUUCGCAGCUUUGAGUUUCCUUUCCUAGUCACAAGGAUGCAGUGAGAAAUGGAACCGAUGUCUUAGAGGCAUCCUGCAUUCUAAUCUGGACUGGACUAAAGGGACUGGACUAUUUGCUGGUCUCUUUGUGCUGGGUGGACAUUUGUUGUUUUCCUGCCUAUCUUGAAGUGAUACCAUCCUUCUCAGUCCAAGCUUCUCAGUCCAGGCACCUCUGGUGGUAGAACUCCACCUAGCCAUGCAGGGUAGGCUGGUGACUCACACCUGGCCAGUCAUACUUCCAGCCUGAGUGACUGAUUCAGAAAUGGACAUGUGACCCAAUCAAAGCCAGAGAUGCAGAAACUCUUGCUGGGACUUUCGGAGAAAAGACUCACUCUCAACUCCUCAAAGUUGGGUGGAUGUGAGGCCAGAGUUGCUGUUGCUAUCUUGCUACCAUCAGAUGACAGCCUGAGAAUGGAGUUUACCCAAAGGGAAUGGAGACAACAGAUGAAGUGCAAGAAGCCAGGACAAGAUAUCCAUGUUUGCACCCUGGUCAAAUGUUACCUGAAGCCACUUUAGCUCCUGGAGUUUGCAGUUACAUGAGGGAACAAACUUCAUUUUUGCUUAUGUCAGAAUUUUUGUUACUUAUAAUGGAAUCAAUCCAAAGUGGUACAGUGCUUUUUAUCCCAUAAGCUACAUAGUGAUCUCUUUUUCCUUUCUUUGCAGUAUCUAAACCAUUCAUUCUUUAAAUCCCACUUAAAUGCUACCUCAUCCAUGAAACAAUCUCUGCUUUCUUGUGCCAUAAGAACUCUCUCCCUUCUUUGAAAUCCCAGAGCAUUUUACAUGUUGGUCUCUUAUGGAACAUCCCUUACUAUAGUGUACUAAUUUUCUUUAGAUACAUGGCUUGUCCCCUGUAAGCUCUUGGCAGCUUCAGGGCAGGACUUUUGUUGUGAUUAUCUUUUUAUCACAGGACACACAAGGUGCUUUGAAUAAAAUGAGGUCUCAAUUCAUAUUUAUGGAAUGAACAGAUGAAUCAAUGAAAUGGACUUUGUCUCUGAGCAGGCAAUACACUCUGGGAAGAAGCCAGUUUUGCUCCAUAGGAGGAAGAGAACAAACUGCUGCUGGAGAUGCUGCAACAGUACAAGCUGUCAGGUCAAGAAGAGGCAGAGAAAGAGAUGAAGUCUGACAAGGGUAAAACCAGGGAGAGCGAGCACCAAGCACAAGAAAGCUGUAAAGACCCACAAGGCAAACAUUUAGAAAACCCACUCGCCCGUGGCUUCCUUUAUCCCAGAGUGUCAUUAGUGUCUGUGGUCAGCUACUUGUACUACCUCUGAAUUAGCUACCAUUUACUAAGUGCUUAGUACAUGCCAGGCACUGUGCUAAACAUUUCAUAUGCAUUGCCUCAUUUACUCUAUAAAAUAACAGUGAGUUGAAUAUUAUUUCUGUCAUUUUACAGAUGAAGAAACUGGGGUACAGAAAGAUGAGUAACUUGCUAAAAGUCACAAAGAUAGUUAAGUGUUAGAUCAGGAUUUAUGCUGGGAUUUUAGGCAGUGUGCAAAAAGUUUUUUUUUUAAAAAAAAGGCACAGGAAGGAGAGAAUGUGAAGAUGCUAUGGACUGAAUGUUUGUUUUCCUCCAAAAUUCAUAGAUUGAAACCCUCAUCUCCAAGGUGAUGGUAUUUGGAGAUGGAGCCUUUGGGAGGUAAUUAGGUCAUAAGGGUGGAGCCCUCAUGAUAGGAUUAGCACCCUUAUAAGAAGAAACAGAAGAGACAUUUUUCUCUUUUUCUCUCAUCGUGAACCAGGAGAGCUGUCACCAGUAACCUGACCAUGAUGGCAUCUUGAUCUCAGACUUUCCAGCCUCCAGAGCUUGAGAAAUAAAUGUCUGUUCUUUAAGUUAUCUAGUCUAUUUUGCUUUUUUAUAGCAGCCUGAACUGACUAAAAAGGAGAUCGAUAGGGUGAACAGUGAGAGAGAAAUGAGGAAAGUGUAGAGUCCUGUAACAAUGAGGAAAGGGCCCCACGUGGGGGAGAACAAUUGUUCUGAAAAAUGUCUAAUUACAGACAAUCCACUAGCACAUCUUGUUUCCAAAUACCUUGCUGUGCCUGUAGCCCGAGCAGCACCACCUUGUUCUGCAUAGCCCCUCUAGUACCACCCUACAAAACUUCCCUCCAGCCCCUGGUUCUUUGCAGAUAGCCUCUUCUCUGCUGUGCUGCCCACUGCACUGUUUCAAUGUAUUUUCAUACUUUCUCUAAUAAAUCU
Homo sapiens (human) is the source of this 2472-nucleotide long non-coding RNA. The record is from Ensembl. NCBI's taxonomy places the organism in Eukaryota, Metazoa, Chordata, Mammalia, Primates, Hominidae.